RNAcentral lists this ribosomal RNA (235 nucleotides) under uncultured Eubacteriales bacterium. RNAcentral describes it as "uncultured Clostridiales bacterium partial 16S ribosomal RNA". It matches the Rfam family "Bacterial small subunit ribosomal RNA", at positions 99 to 334 of the family's 1533-position model. Lineage: Bacteria; Bacillati; Bacillota; Clostridia; Eubacteriales. The record is from RNAcentral.
CGAAAGGGUGAGUAACACGUGAGUAACCUGCCUUACACAAGGGGAUAGCCUUUGGAAACGAAGAAUAAUACCCUAUAAAGUCAAAAUAUCGCAUGAUAUAGUGACCAAAGAUUUAUCGGUGUAAGAUGGACUUGCGUCUGAUUAGCUAGUUGGUGAGAUAAAAGCCCACCAAGGCGACGAUCAGUAGCCGGCUUGAGAGAGUGUACGGCCACAUUGGGACUGAGACACGGCCCAA